AGGACGAACGCUGGCGGCGUGCUUAACACAUGCAAGUCGAACGGUGACGAGGAGCUUGCUCCUCUGAUCAGUGGCGAACGGGUGAGUAACACGUGAGUAACCUGCCCCAGACUCUGGGAUAACAGUUGGAAACAGCUGCUAAUACCGGAUACGAGACGGAGAGGCAUCUCUACCGUCUGGAAAGUUUUCGGUCUGGGAUGGACUCGCGGCCUAUCAGCUUGUUGGUGAGGUAAUGGCUCACCAAGGCGACGACGGGUAGCCGGCCUGAGAGGGCGACCGGCCACACUGGGACUGAGACACGGCCCAGACUCCUACGGGAGGCAGCAGUGGGGAAUAUUGCACAAUGGGCGAAAGCCUGAUGCAGCGACGCCGCGUGAGGGAUGACGGCCUUCGGGUUGUAAACCUCUUUCAGCAGGGAAGAAGCGAAAGUGACGGUACCUGCAGAAGAAGCACCGGCUAACUACGUG
This 467-nucleotide ribosomal RNA is filed under the name uncultured bacterium. RNAcentral's name for it is "bacterial SSU rRNA". It matches the Rfam family "Bacterial small subunit ribosomal RNA", at positions 26 to 507 of the family's 1533-position model. The record is from RNAcentral.